AGGGGUCUCCAGCGACGACGGGUAGCCGACCUGAGAGGGUGACCGGCCACACUGGGACUGAGACACGGCCCAGACUCCUACGGGAGGCAGCAGUGGGGAAUAUUGCACAAUGGGCGAAAGCCUGAUGCAGCGACGCCGCGUGAGGGAUGACGGCCUUCGGGUUGUAAACCUCUUUCAGCAGGGACGAAGCGCAAGUGACGGUACCUGCAGAAGAAGCACCGGCUAACUACGUGCCAGCAGCCGCGGUAAUACGUAGGGUGCAAGCGUUGUCCGGAAUUACUGGGCGUAAAGAGUUCGUAGGCGGUUUGUCGCGUCGUUUGUGAAAACCAGCAGCUCAACUGCUGGCUUGCAGGCGAUACGGGCAGACUUGAGUACUGCAGGGGAGACUGGAAUUCCUGGUGUAGCGGUGAAAUGCGCAGAUAUCAGGAGGAACACCGGUGGCGAAGGCGGGUCUCUGGGCAGUAACUGACGCUGAGGAACGAAAGCGUGGGUAGCGAACAGGAUUAGAUACCCUGGUAGUCCACGCCGUAAACGGUGGGCGCUAGGUGUGGGUUCCUUCCACGGAAUCCGUGCCGUAGCUAACGCAUUAAGCGCCCCGCCUGGGGGAGUACGG
RNAcentral lists this ribosomal RNA (613 nucleotides) under Rhodococcus sp. (in: high G+C Gram-positive bacteria). Its description in RNAcentral is "bacterial SSU rRNA". It matches the Rfam family "Bacterial small subunit ribosomal RNA", at positions 260 to 885 of the family's 1533-position model. The record is from RNAcentral. Lineage: Bacteria; Bacillati; Actinomycetota; Actinomycetes; Mycobacteriales; Nocardiaceae.